CCCGUCCCGUUCGUCCCCGGACGUUGCUCUCUACCCCGGGAACGUCGAGACUGGAGCGCCCGAACUGAGCCACCUUCGCGGACCCCGAGAGCGGCG
This 96-nucleotide microRNA precursor is filed under the name Gorilla gorilla gorilla (western lowland gorilla). RNAcentral describes it as "miRNA (ENSGGOG00000043675.1)". The stretch from base 1 to 64 matches the Rfam family "mir-1247 microRNA precursor family", at positions 11 to 74 of the family's 74-position model. Lineage: Eukaryota; Metazoa; Chordata; Mammalia; Primates; Hominidae. The record is from RNAcentral.